Molecule: long non-coding RNA, 271 nt
Filed under: Ictidomys tridecemlineatus (thirteen-lined ground squirrel)
Lineage: Eukaryota; Metazoa; Chordata; Mammalia; Rodentia; Sciuridae
Description: lncRNA (ENSSTOG00000029468.1)
Source: RNAcentral
CCAGCCUCCAGAACUGUGGGCUAAAUUCUAUACAAAUUACUCAAUCUCUGGUAUUUCAUGAUAGCAACAGAAGACCACCAAAGACAUCAUCCAGAUUCAAGCCUGGAACAGAAAGCAUCAAUCUAGAAGGAGUGUAGGCUACAGGUGGCUUCAGCCUCAGCUGUGCCUUGCCUGGGGUCAUCAGUGACUUUCCUGUAUGGGACCUUUCUACGUACUACAGACCUGUGCCAUGUAAGGAUGUUUCAGUGAUGAUGGUCCUCCCUCCCAUAAA